GACGAACGCUGGCGGCGUGCUUAACACAUGCAAGUCGAACGGAAAGGCCCUGCUUUUGUGGGGUGCUCGAGUGGCGAACGGGUGAGUAACACGUGAGUAACCUGCCCUUGACUUUGGGAUAACUUCAGGAAACUGGGGCUAAUACCGGAUAGGAGCUCCUGCUGCAUGGUGGGGGUUGGAAAGUUUCGGCGGUUGGGGAUGGACUCGCGGCUUAUCAGCUUGUUGGUGGGGUAGUGGCUUACCAAGGCUUUGACGGGUAGCCGGCCUGAGAGGGUGACCGGCCACAUUGGGACUGAGAUACGGCCCAGACUCCUAAGGGAGGAAGCAGUGGGGAAUAUUGCACAAUGGGCGGAAGACUGAUGCAGCAACGCCGCGUGCGGGAUGACGGCCUUCGGGUUGUAAACCGCUUUCGCCUGUGACGAAGCGUGAGUGACGGUAAUGGGUAAAGAAGCACCGGCUAACUACGUG
RNAcentral lists this ribosomal RNA (468 nucleotides) under uncultured bacterium. RNAcentral's name for it is "partial 16S ribosomal RNA". It matches the Rfam family "Bacterial small subunit ribosomal RNA", at positions 28 to 507 of the family's 1533-position model. The record is from RNAcentral.